CUACGGGUUGCUGCAGUGGGGAAUAUUGCACAAUGGAGGAAACUCUGAUGCAGCAACGCCGCGUGGAGGAUGACACUUUUCGGAGCGUAAACUCCUUUUAUAUAGGAAGAAGAUGACGGUACUAUAUGAAUAAGCGCCGGCUAACUCCGUGCCAGCAGCCGCGGUAAUACGGAGGGCGCAAGCGUUACUCGGAAUCACUGGGCGUAAAGAGCGUGUAGGCGGAUUAAAAAGUCAGAAGUGAAAUCCUAUAGCUUAACUAUAGAACUGCUUCUGAAACUCUUAAUCUAGAAUAUGGGAGAGGUAGAUGGAAUUUCUGGUGUAGGGGUAAAAUCCGUAGAGAUCAGAAGGAAUACCGAUUGCGAAGGCGAUCUACUAGAACAUUAUUGACGCUGAGACGCGAAAGCGUGGGGAGCAAACAGGAUUAGAUACCCUAGUAGUC
Molecule: ribosomal RNA, 439 nt
Filed under: uncultured bacterium
Lineage: Bacteria
Description: partial 16S ribosomal RNA
Rfam family: Bacterial small subunit ribosomal RNA
Source: RNAcentral